Myotis brandtii (Brandt's bat) is the source of this 163-nucleotide non-coding RNA. The record is from Rfam. Lineage: Eukaryota; Metazoa; Chordata; Mammalia; Chiroptera; Vespertilionidae.
AAUAUUUUCCAUACCUCUGAAUGAAAAUCAAACAAAAAUUAACAAAAGCACAAUGGCAUAUGAGAUAAAUAUACCUGCAUGUUAGUCUUAGGUUCUGAUACAAAUGGCAUGCCAUUGUGCUGCCAUUUUUGUACUGUCAGGACUUGACUGGUGUGCGGACACU